This is a long non-coding RNA of Corvus hawaiiensis (hawaiian crow), 244 nucleotides long. RefSeq lists it as uncharacterized. The transcript is spliced from 3 exons. The record is from RefSeq and is a predicted model, not a curated record. Lineage: Eukaryota; Metazoa; Chordata; Aves; Passeriformes; Corvidae.
CCGCCCCGGGAGGCACGCAGACUCAUCCCAGCUUGCGGCACACACGCUCCGUCUGCCGAGCUGACACCGACGGCGCCCGGGGCACAGCGGCCAAUGCUGUCCAUGAUAUAUUGAAUAGUCCUCAUAGAGAAAGUACGAGGUAGACAAUGUUUACAGAAACAAUAUAAGUAGAAGUGAAAAUUGAAGAAAAGGAAUAUUGAACUUCUAGCAAUUUUGACUGCAUCUAUAUACUAAUCAAAACUCU